CUACGGGGCGCAGCAGUGAGGAAUAUUGCACAAUGGGGGGAACCCUGAUGCAGCAACGCCGCGUGGAGGAUGACGCAUUUCGGUGUGUAAACUCCUUUUAUAUGUCAAGAAAAUGACGGUAGCAUAUGAAUAAGCACCGGCUAACUCCGUGCCAGCAGCCGCGGUAAUACGGAGGGUGCAAGCGUUACUCGGAAUCACUGGGCGUAAAGGACGCGUAGGCGGGUUGGAAAGUCAGGUGUGAAAUCCUACAGCUUAACUGUAGAACUGCACUUGAAACUUCUAAUCUAGAGUAUGGGAGGGGGAGAUGGAAUUAGUGGCGUAGGGGUAAAAUCCGUAGAUAUCACUAGGAAUACCUAAGGCGAAGGCGAUCUCCUGGAACAUUACUGACGCUAAGGCGUGAAAGCGUGGGGAGCAAACAGGAUUAGAUACCCUUGUAGUC
This 439-nucleotide ribosomal RNA is filed under the name uncultured bacterium. Its description in RNAcentral is "partial 16S ribosomal RNA". It matches the Rfam family "Bacterial small subunit ribosomal RNA", at positions 339 to 795 of the family's 1533-position model. The record is from RNAcentral.